CACGCCGUAAACGAUGAAUGCUAGACGUUGGGACCCCUAGGGUUUCAGUGUCGCCGCUAACGCAUGAAGCAUUCCGCCUGGGGAGUACGGCCGCAAGGUUAAAACUCAAAGGAAUUGACGGGGGCCCGCACAAGCGGUGGAGCAUGUGGUUUAAUUCGACGCAACGCGCAGAACCUUACCAGCUCUUGACAUGGGAAGUAUGGGCCUGAGAGAUCGGGUUCUUCAGUUCGGCUGGCUUCCACACAGGUGC
This 250-nucleotide ribosomal RNA is filed under the name uncultured bacterium. RNAcentral's name for it is "partial 16S ribosomal RNA". It matches the Rfam family "Bacterial small subunit ribosomal RNA", at positions 796 to 1041 of the family's 1533-position model. The record is from RNAcentral. RNAcentral also lists the same sequence under 1 other name.